AGUAUACUGGUGUUCUCCCCUCUU
This 24-nucleotide non-coding RNA is filed under the name Arabidopsis thaliana (thale cress). Lineage: Eukaryota; Viridiplantae; Streptophyta; Magnoliopsida; Brassicales; Brassicaceae. The record is from RNAcentral.